UACGGGGGGGGCAAGCGUUGUUCGGAAUUACUGGGCGUAAAGGGUUCGUAGGUGGCCAACUAAGUCAGACGUGAAAUCCCUCAGCUUAACUGGGGAACUGCGUCUGAGACUGGAUGGCUUGAGAUUGGGAGAGGGAUGCGGAAUUCCAGGUGUAGCGGUGAAAUGCGUAGAUAUCUGGAGGAACACCGGUGGCGAAGGCGGCAUCCUGGACCAACACUGACGCUGAGGGAGCGAAAGCCAGGGGAGCAAACGGG
RNAcentral lists this ribosomal RNA (254 nucleotides) under uncultured bacterium. Its description in RNAcentral is "partial 16S ribosomal RNA". It matches the Rfam family "Bacterial small subunit ribosomal RNA", at positions 524 to 776 of the family's 1533-position model. The record is from RNAcentral.